CAGUCGCCGCGGGAAUAUGUAGGGUGCAAGCGUUAAUCGGAAUUACUGGGCGUAAAGCGUGCGCAGGCGGUCCGUUAAGACAGAUGUGAAAUCCCCGGGCUUAACCUGGGAACUGCAUUUGUGACUGGCGGGCUAGAGUAUGGCAGAGGGGGGUAGAAUUCCACGUGUAGCAGUGAAAUGCGUAAAGAUGUGGAGGAAUACCGAUGGCGAAGGCAGCCCCCUGGGCCAAUACUGACGCUCAUGCACGAAAGCGUGGGGAGCAAACAGGAUUAGAUACCCGGGUAGUCCCUGUCUCUUAUAC
Molecule: ribosomal RNA, 301 nt
Filed under: uncultured bacterium
Lineage: Bacteria
Description: partial 16S ribosomal RNA
Rfam family: Bacterial small subunit ribosomal RNA
Source: RNAcentral